ACUCCUACGGGAGGCAGCAGUAGGGAAUCUUCCACAAUGGACGAAAGUCUGAUGGAGCAACGCCGCGUGAACGAUGAAGGCUUUCGGGUCGUAAAGUUCUGUUGUAAGGGAAGAACAAGUGCCGCAGGCAAUGGCGGCACCUUGACGGUACCUUGCGAGAAAGCCACGGCUAACUACGUGCCAGCAGCCGCGGUAAUACGUAGGUGGCAAGCGUUGUCCGGAAUUAUUGGGCGUAAAGCGCGCGCAGGCGGCCUCUUAAGUCUGAUGUGAAAGCCCCGGCUCAACCGGGGGAGGGCCAUUGGAAACUGGGAGGCUUGAGUAUAGGAGAGAAGAGUGGAAUUCCACGUGUAGCGGUGAAAUGCGUAGAGAUGUGGAGGAACACCAGUGGCGAAGGCGACUCUUUGGCCUAUAACUGACGCUGAGGCGCGAAAGCGUGGGGAGCAAACAGGAUUAGAUACCCUGGUAGGAUAGCG
RNAcentral lists this ribosomal RNA (473 nucleotides) under uncultured bacterium. Its description in RNAcentral is "bacterial SSU rRNA". It matches the Rfam family "Bacterial small subunit ribosomal RNA", at positions 335 to 799 of the family's 1533-position model. The record is from RNAcentral.